AGCGAACGCUGGCGGCAGGCCUAACACAUGCAAGUCGAACGAACUCUUCGGAGUUAGUGGCGGACGGGUGAGUAACACGUGGGAACGUGCCUUUAGGUUCGGAAUAACUCAGGGAAACUUGUGCUAAUACCGAAUGUGCCCUUCGGGGGAAAGAUUUAUCGCCUUUAGAGCGGCCCGCGUCUGAUUUGCUAGUUGGUGAGGUAAAGGCUCACCAAGGCGACGAUCAGUAGCUGGUCUGAGAGGAUGAUCAACCACAUUGGGACUGAGACACGGCCCAAACUCCUACGGGGGGCAGCAGUGGGGAAUCUUGCGCAAUGGGCGAAAGCCUGACGCAGCCAUGCCGCGUGAAUGAUGAAGGUCUUAGGAUUGUAAAAUUCUUUCACCGGGGACGAUAAUGACGGUACCCGGAGAAGAAGCCCCGGCUAACUUCGUGCCAGCCGCCGCGGUAA
RNAcentral lists this ribosomal RNA (449 nucleotides) under uncultured bacterium. RNAcentral describes it as "partial 16S ribosomal RNA". It matches the Rfam family "Bacterial small subunit ribosomal RNA", at positions 29 to 523 of the family's 1533-position model. The record is from RNAcentral.